GCGGGUGCAUUUGGUAACACCGCCCGUCGCACCUACCGAUUGAAUGUUUCGGUGAAGAUUCCGGACCGCGACGCCAGAGCGCUUCACGGCGCCCUGGUCGUGGGAAGUUGUCUAAACCUCAACAUUUAGAGGAAGGUGAAGUCGUAACAAGGUUUCCGUAGGUGAACCUGCGGAAGGAUCAUUACCCAUCACUCGCGAUCGCAAUUCACCCGUCGGGAGCGAGCGACCGAGCAAGCGCGAGGCUGUCGCCUAUAUGCUCGCCCGGUUCGUUCGUCCCCGGGUGCGAUGAACGAGAGCGAGUGGGCGGAGCUUUGGCUCCGUCCGCUCGUGAACGGACCUUUCCAUUUCCAGUGUGGCAGACUUGGGUGCUUCCGCGGUACUGGAAUGGGGAGGCUCGGGAGCGCCCGCAAACCCUCUUCGGGUGGGACCGCCUUGUCGGGGCGGGAGGGCCCGAGGUAGCUGUAUUGCAUUCCCCGCGCGCUUUGCGCGUUGUGUGCGUUGCACUGCACUCCUCGCGAAAGGUUCCUAUGGCUUGCUCGGUCGGUUGCUUCGUGUGACAGAUCGAGCGAGCUUUGAGUCUCGUCCUCUUUAUUCGCUACUUCUUCUCGCUCGAGUUGGAUUGGGGAAGACGAGGAAGGGGCGAAAAGGUUUAAAUUCCCAGUAUUAUGUCGUGGAGGUGGCGCCUUGGGGUUGUUCGCGGUCGGUAUUCGGUCGUUGGCGGCCCCGGGCGGCCUACGCGGCACGUUGGCGCGGUGUGUGUAUUGUGUGGUGGUGGUGGGCUUGGCGGCUCGCUACUGGUACGCACUAGCAUCCAUCGCGUUCAGCGAACCAUUACCAGUUUUCUGAUCUCGACUCUGCGGGAAGAGGGCCGGUGCGGCUUCCGCAUGGGCCUCCAUUCUGUAGGGUUCGAACCCAACUUCCUAUAAAACUUUCAGCGACGGAUGUCUUGGCUCCCACAACGAUGAAGAACGCAGCGAAAUGCGAUACGUCUUGCGACUUGCAGAAUCUCGUGAAUCAUCGAAACUUCGAACGCAUCUUGCGCUCCCGGGAUAUGCCUGGGAGCAUGCUUGUCGGGGAGGAGGAGGCGAAAACUCGCCCACAGCUUUGGGUUCGAUCUCGACCUCAAGGCGGUGGAGCGGAAUCUGAGUGUUCCGGGGAGCGGUAGUGUGGUGUGUACUUUUGUACAUACUGCCUGUUCGUCCCCUGAGUCCACCCAAGCCUAGAGAGCUACCGAUUGUCCGGGCUUCUAUUGUCUUUGCGGCGCUGGAGACAGGUCUACCUUGCGUCCUCCGGAAGAUACGUUGUUGACGCCGGGGAUGUGCGCGGGUGACUUUGAGGUGUCGCUGGAGGCAAGUUCACCUUGCGUCCUCCGGAGGAUCUGUUGUUGACGGCGCCCCAUAUCGCGGGGCGGGGACAUGACGGGUCGCCGGGGAUGUGCGCAGGUGGCCUUGAGGCUUGGAACGUUAGGCAGUCUCGAGAGUGCCGGUGAGAGACCGGUGAUUAUGAUUAUGCCAUACCCCCGAUCAAGCAAGAAGACCCGCUGAAUUUAAGCAUAUAACUAAGCGGAGAAGUGAACUUGUUCA
RNAcentral lists this ribosomal RNA (1583 nucleotides) under Sargassum pseudolanceolatum. RNAcentral's name for it is "eukaryotic LSU rRNA". The stretch from base 927 to 1081 matches the Rfam family "5.8S ribosomal RNA". Lineage: Eukaryota; Phaeophyceae; Fucales; Sargassaceae. The record is from RNAcentral.